GCAACAGCUCAGAUUUGGAAUCUGGUCCUUAGGGCCCGAGUUGUAAUCUGGAGAGGAUGCUUUUGGCGCGGCGCCUUCCGAGUUCCCUGGAACGGGACGCCGGAGAGGGUGAGAGCCCCGUACGGUUGGACGCCUAGCCUGUGUAAAGCUCCUUCGACGAGUCGAGUAGUUUGGGAAUGCUGCUCAAAAUGGGAGGUAAUUUCUUCUAAAGCUAAAUACCGGCCAGAGACCGAUAGCGCACAA
This 243-nucleotide ribosomal RNA is filed under the name Ophiostoma brevicolle. RNAcentral's name for it is "partial large subunit ribosomal RNA". It matches the Rfam family "Eukaryotic large subunit ribosomal RNA", at positions 101 to 347 of the family's 3401-position model. The record is from RNAcentral. Lineage: Eukaryota; Fungi; Ascomycota; Sordariomycetes; Ophiostomatales; Ophiostomataceae.